UUUCCAGAUUCCAAGUACAAAGUCAACAAACUGAAGAAUAGGUGGAAAAUAUUCCACAUGGGUUUCUCAGACACCCUUUGAAUGGAGACUGGCAUCUCUUUAAGAACUACUUCCCUUUCUCCACAGCUUAACAUCAGAAACUCGUAGGGCACUCCCAGAGGUAAAUACUCUGGAGAGAAAGAUUUGCUCUCAGUGCUGAUUUAUGAACUGUAGCUUCACAAACCAGCAUUAAUUUGAAGGGAGUUAAUUUUUCCCCAAAGUGUUUUGUUUACUUCCAGUCAUCUCUUAUCACUGAAAAAACAAAACACACAUAGUAUUGUGCUUUAUGCUUUCCUAAAGCUGAAAAAAAUUCUAAGAAAAUUAUUUUUAGUAACUUAUUGUCUUAAGAAAAUAACUGAAAAGAAGUACUUGUCUAGUGUGAAAAAUUAUACGUGUAAGUUUACUUUUUUUUCGGAAGCAGAAGACAUCAUUUCUCUAGUACGUUCACAAAGAUAAUUAAGAUACCCAGAUGAAGUUCUAUAAAUGGACUUUAAAAGUUGAUAGGGAACUGAAUCUUUAGUAUUAAUGGAUCGUAAUUGAAAUUAUUAAGAUAAUGGAGAAAUUGAUAAAAGAUUCUAUAACUCUCAAA
Molecule: long non-coding RNA, 628 nt
Organism: Rhinopithecus roxellana (golden snub-nosed monkey)
Lineage: Eukaryota; Metazoa; Chordata; Mammalia; Primates; Cercopithecidae
Exons: 2
Source: RefSeq, a predicted model, not a curated record